Molecule: ribosomal RNA, 465 nt
Filed under: Vreelandella stevensii
Lineage: Bacteria; Pseudomonadati; Pseudomonadota; Gammaproteobacteria; Oceanospirillales; Halomonadaceae
Description: partial 16S ribosomal RNA
Rfam family: Bacterial small subunit ribosomal RNA
Source: RNAcentral
CCUACAGGAGGCUGCAGUGGGGAAUAUUGGACAAUGGGGGGAACCCUGAUCCAGCCAUGCCGCGUGUGUGAAGAAGGCCCUCGGGUUGUAAAGCACUUUCAGUGAGGAAGAACGCCUGGUGGUUAAUACCCAUCAGGAAAGACAUCACUCACAGAAGAAGCACCGGCUAACUCCGUGCCAGCAGCCGCGGUAAUACGGAGGGUGCGAGCGUUAAUCGGAAUUACUGGGCGUAAAGCGCGCGUAGGUGGCUUGAUAAGCCGGUUGUGAAAGCCCCGGGCUCAACCUGGGAACGGCAUCCGGAACUGUCAAGCUAGAGUGCAGGAGAGGAAGGUAGAAUUCCCGGUGUAGCGGUGAAAUGCGUAGAGAUCGGGAGGAAUACCAGUGGCGAAGGCGGCCUUCUGGACUGACACUGACACUGAGGUGCGAAAGCGUGGGUAGCAAACAGGAUUAGAUACCCCAGUAGUC